Molecule: ribosomal RNA, 496 nt
Filed under: uncultured bacterium
Lineage: Bacteria
Description: partial 16S ribosomal RNA
Rfam family: Bacterial small subunit ribosomal RNA
Source: RNAcentral
GAUGAACGCUGGCGGCGUGCCUAAUACAUGCAAGUCGAGCGAACAGACGAGGAGCUUGCUCCUCUGACGUUAGCGGCGGACGGGUGAGUAACACGUGGAUAACCUACCUAUAAGACUGGGAUAACUUCGGGAAACCGGAGCUAAUACCGGAUAAUAUAUUGAACCGCAUGGUUCAAUAGUGAAAGACGGUUUUCCUGUCACUUAUAGAUGGAUCCGCGCCGCAUUAGCUAGUUGGUAAGGUAACGGCUUACCAAGGCAACGAUGCGUAGCCGACCUGAGAGGGUGAUCGGCCACACUGGAACUGAGACACGGUCCAGACUCCUACGGGAGGCAGCAGUAGGGAAUCUUGCGCAAUGGGCGAAAGCCUGACGGAGCAACGCCGCGUGAGUGAUGAAGGUCUUCGGAUCGUAAAACUCUGUUAUUAGGGAAGAACAAAUGUGUAAGUAACUAUGCACGUCUUGACGGUACCUAAUCAGAAAGCCACGGCUAACUACGU